AUUAUGAAAGACAAAAAAUUAUGGCGGUAUUUUAAGCUUUUCAGAGGAAUUUGCUCUUUAAUGGAUAAAACACCUAAAUCUUACUUAAAUUUGUUAAUUCAAUUUGUAUACCACUAUAAAAACAAUUUAUAACUUUAAUUGUUGGUAUUUAUUAAAUUAAAAUAUAUUAAGUCAAGGUGCAGUAAAAAUUUAAGGAUGAAGUGAAUUACAUUACUUUUUAGAGAAAUAAAUUUAAAAUAAUAUUUAGGAUUUGAAAGUAAAAUUAAAAUAUAAUGUUAAUUUGAAUUAAGCUCUAAAAUAUGUACACAUCGCC
Molecule: ribosomal RNA, 313 nt
Filed under: Rhipicephalus turanicus
Lineage: Eukaryota; Metazoa; Arthropoda; Arachnida; Ixodida; Ixodidae
Description: partial 12S ribosomal RNA
Source: RNAcentral